This 492-nucleotide ribosomal RNA is filed under the name uncultured bacterium. Its description in RNAcentral is "partial 16S ribosomal RNA". It matches the Rfam family "Bacterial small subunit ribosomal RNA", at positions 29 to 507 of the family's 1533-position model. The record is from RNAcentral.
AGUGAACGCUGGCGGUAGGCCUAACACAUGCAAGUCGAACGGCAGCACAGUAAGAGCUUGCUCUUACGGGUGGCGAGUGGCGGACGGGUGAGGAAUACAUCGGAAUCUACUUUUUCGUGGGGGAUAACGUAGGGAAACUUACGCUAAUACCGCAUACGACCUACGGGUGAAAGCAGGGGAUCUUCGGACCUUGCGCGAUUGAAUGAGCCGAUGUCGGAUUAGCUAGUUGGCGGGGUAAAGGCCCACCAAGGCGACGAUCCGUAGCUGGUCUGAGAGGAUGAUCAGCCACACUGGAACUGAGACACGGUCCAGACUCCUACGGGAGGCAGCAGUGGGGAAUAUUGGACAAUGGGCGCAAGCCUGAUCCAGCCACACCGCGCGGGUGAAGAAGGCCUUCGGGUUGUAAAGCCCUUUUGUUGGGAAAGAAAAGCAGCAGGUUAAUACCCCGCUGUUCUGACGGUACCCAAAGAAUAAGCACCGGCUAACUUCGUG